GUGCCUAAUACAUGCAAGUCGAGCGCGAGAAUGAGGAGCUUGCUCCUCAUGAUCGAGCGGCGGACGGGUGAGUAACACGUAGGCAACCUACCCUUGAGAUUGGGAUAACUACCGGAAACGGUAGCUAAUACCGGAUACGACAUAGUCACAUAAGUGACUCUGUUAAAAGGCGGAUUUAUCUGCCGCUCAUGGAUGGGCCUGCGGUGCAUUAGCUAGUUGGUGAGAUAGAAGCUCACCAAGGCGACGAUGCAUAGCCGACCUGAGAGGGUGAUCGGCCACACUGGGACUGAGACACGGCCCAGACUCCUACGGGAGGCAGCAGUAGGGAAUCUUCCGCAAUGGACGAAAGUCUGACGGAGCAACGCCGCGUGAGUGAUGAAGGGUUCCGGCUCGUAAAACUCUGUUGUUAAGGAAGAAUACUUGAGGUAGUAACUGGCCUUGAGAUGACGGUACUUAACCAGAAAGCCACGGCUAACUACGUGCCAGCAGCCGCGGUAAUACGUAGGUGGCAAGCGUUAUCCGGAAUUAUUGGGCGUAAAGCGCGCGUAGGCGGUAAAAUAAGUCUGAUGUGAAAGCCCCCGGCUCAACCGGGGAGGGUCAUUGGAAACUGUUUUACUUGAGUACAGAAGAGGAGAGUGGAAUUCCAUGUGUAGCGGUGAAAUGCGCAGAGAUAUGGAGGAACACCAGUGGCGAAGGCGGCUCUCUGGUCUGUAACUGACGCUGAGGUGCGAAAGCGUGGGGAUCAAACAGGAUUAGAUACCCUGGUAGUCCACGCCGUAAACGAUGAGUGCUAAGUGUUGGGGGGUUUCCGCCCCUCAGUGCUGCAGCUAACGCAUUAAGCACUCCGCCUGGGGAGUACGGCCGCAAGGCUGAAACUCAAAUGAAUUGACGG
Molecule: ribosomal RNA, 892 nt
Filed under: uncultured Jeotgalibacillus sp.
Lineage: Bacteria; Bacillati; Bacillota; Bacilli; Caryophanales; Caryophanaceae
Description: bacterial SSU rRNA
Rfam family: Bacterial small subunit ribosomal RNA
Source: RNAcentral